GUUGUUUUGCUGCGCUCGAUUCCCGCGGGCCCUGUUCUGUCUGCUUUCCUUCCUUCGGCCCGGUUCCUCCUUCAGCACCUCCACCCAGCACCCUCCAGACCUCCUUUACCAUCCCCUUCUUAACCAGCCAGCUUUCUCGUCCAUCCCCCAUUAAUUUCUUAUUUAGCGACUGUCCGCCGUGCGCCGGAUGCUCUCUGUCGCUCGCGCAAUUAAUCCUUGUAUCAGUCGGCUUAGUUUACAGGAGAGGGAACCGCGGCUCCGCUGCGCGGCUUUGGACCACUCACUCGUCCUUCUUGAGGGAGAUUCAUGGACUAUCUGCCAUGCCCCGAACACCAGGCAGAGUGCUAAGGCGACACGAAGAUGAAUAAGAUGUGACCCCUGCUCUCCAGGAUCCUGUCGCAUAGAUGAAGAGAUAGAACAUAUCCAUAAAAAGAUAACUAAUGACCGACAUGGCCUGCUGCCGACACGUGUUAUGGUCCUGCGGGCUACAGAAAUUCAGAGGAGGAAGACAGAUGACUGCAGUGUGGCAGCUGCUCCUCGGGCACUUCCAGGAGCUUGUUAGGGUGAGGACAGAAGACUUCAUAACACAGAGGGAACCUGUGACACCGGCUUUAUAUCACACAAUAGAAAAUACCCAGGUGAGGGCCGGGAACAGUGGCUCACGCCUGUAAUCCCAGCAUUUUGGGAGGCCGAGGUGGGUGGAUCAUGAGGUCAGGAGUUCGAGACCAGCCUGGCCAACAUGGUGAAACCCCGUCUCUACUAAAAAUACAAAAAAAUUAGCCAGGUGUGGUGGCACAUGCCUGUAGGCCCAGCUACCCGGGAGGCUGAGGCAGGAGAAUAGCUGGAACCUGGGAGGCGGAGCUUGCAGUGAGCCGAGAUCGUACCACUGCACUCCAGCCUGGGUGACAGAGUGAGAUUCUGAAAAAAAAGAAAGAAAAUACCGAGGAGUAGUGGGCAUCUUCAUUGUAUCAGCCCAGUGGCCACUUCCCUUUUUUCUGUGAAUAGUACCCCAAAUAUCUUUCUGGGACCCACUUUUUUCCCACUCUUAGUCCAUGAGAUAAGCUAGGGCUCCCCAUCCUCAUCCUACUUCUUCCCAGCUCUGAGAGUUAAGCAUAAGGGCCUGACCAAGCUUCCUCGUCACAGGGAUUGGUUGGCACCCAGGACUCAGUCUUGAAGUUAGUACUGAUUGGGAAUCAGUCCUGAACACCCAAUGUAGUUGCAUCCUCCUGGCCACGUGACCGAAGCUGAGCCAACCAUAGUCUAUCCCAGCUACUGGAAAGUUGGAUUUGAACUUGAGUGAAUGAGACUCGAGCUACUGGGGGCCAUCAUUUAGGGACUGAAAAGGAAGUCACUACAGCAGAAGGAGGGCUGAGAGAUGGGGAGAAAUCAGAUGUUAAUGUUGAUUUGCGCCAGCUGUAUCUCGAAGAUCUACCCCUAGACUGCUCAGUAACAUGAGCAAUAGGGUCCCCCUUUCUCUGAAGCCAGUUUGAGUUGGGUUCUGUCUUUUACAACAGAAGGAGUUCCAGAUGAAAUCUCUGAGGAUGUGACUCCACUUGGAUAACACCUCCCUGAGCUGCAAGGCAAGGAUUACUCUAUUUUAUAGAUCUGGUCACUGACAGCCAGAGACCAGAACUCUCCUGAGGUCACACAGCAUUGUCCGAGGUCUUAGCUUUUGUGAUGUCUGACCUGAUAUGCUCCUCCAUGAGAUCUUGCUGUCUCCAUGAGCAAGCUUGGCAGGAUGGCCAGCCAAGCCCUACUCACAGGCACCUGCAAGCCAGUAAGGAGGGUUGCCAGGAGAAUAGGGCAUCCUGGUGAGGUACCGGGAGUGCCUCUAAGACAGAGACAAGUCCAUUGGGGCAGAUGAGCUUCUCCCUCUCCAAGGUGAUGUGCCAAGUGACUCAUGGUUUCUCUCAUCUCCUUGAUGCUGAUCUAAAGGCGUUAGUUGACCAGCAGAAAUGAUUAGGUUGUCUAGAUCAUUCAUAUAGAUAAUUGACAUCAACACACCAGAAAACAGCUACCUAUCACUUACUUGCCACCAAGUCCUGCCAAAUGCAAGCUCAUCUCUUUGAUUCCAAUGUUUUCCCCAUUUCUGAGAAAACCACACUCCUCCAGUUUUUCUUUUCCCACUGACCUAUCAGUUAAAUCAGCAAAUACUUACUGUGUGCCUACUCCCACGCAAAACAUUGGACUAGUUGAUUGGAAACACAGAAGGAAUCAUUCAAUAUUUGUGAAUUCAAUAGUGGUUCAUUGAGCCAGGCACAACAUGCCAGACACUUUUCAGGUGCUGGCGAACACAACUGUGAGGAAAACAGCAGAAUCUAUUGUCCUCGUGGUGUCCACAGUCUGGUGGAGGGAUAAGAUGUAGCAGAGGAUUGUAAUUGCUUUUUGGCCACCCAGUUUCCCUUAAUAAAAGCUCCUGAUGUCUUUUGGAGAAUGACCUCUCAUCUAGGCCUUUUUGGACGGACUGCAGUUUCAGGGGCCUUGUGUAUUCCUAAUCAAUACUAACAUCAAGAUUAGUAGAACACUUGCCCUCUAUAGUCAGUAUCACAGGUUUGCUCAUUGAGUGCUCACCAAUACCUAUGGAUAGGUAUCCUCAUGUUCAGAGAGGGAAACUGGGGCAUACUGAGAAUGACUUGGUCACGUGGCUGGUAAAUGGCAGAGCCAGGAUUCAAACCCAGCCUGGCUAGUUCCAGAUACUGCUCUUAACCACCAAUCUACAAUGCUUUGUGAUGUCAGGGAGCUUGUGUUGCCUGGGUGUGGGGACGAUCCAACUGGAUCAUUUGGUCCAAUUGUACUUUUUCUCCCGGAAAUAAGGACCAUGAAAAUAGUGAUGCAAAGAUGGACAGCAUUGUUGCAGUAGCUGUCUUCCGUUGCUAAUGUUCUGAUGUGAUUGUCGUAUACCUCCCACUUGCCUGUAAUCCUGGAGCUUCCCUGGUUGUUUCCCCGUGCAAUCUGAUUCUUGAGUGUUCAUUAUAUUCUGCAGGCCACCCCACAUGCUUCCAAUAAACUCCCUUUGGACUUAAA
Long non-coding RNA from Macaca mulatta (Rhesus monkey), 3024 nucleotides. RefSeq lists it as uncharacterized. Lineage: Eukaryota; Metazoa; Chordata; Mammalia; Primates; Cercopithecidae. The record is from RefSeq and is a predicted model, not a curated record.